ACGCACGCUGGCGGCGUGCCUAAUACCUGCAAGUAGAACGCACAGUUUAUACCGUAGCUUGCUACACCAUAGACUGUGAGUUGCGAACGGGUGAGUAACGCGUAGGUAACCUGCCUGGUAGCGGGGGAUAACUAUUGGAAACGAUAGCUAAUACCGCAUAAUAUUGAUUAUUGCAUGAUAAUUGAUUGAAAGAUGCUAUUGCAUCACUACCAGAUGGACCUGCGUUGUAUUAGCUAGUAGGUGAGGUAACGGCUCACCUAGGCGACGAUACAUAGCCGACCUGAGAGGGUGAUCGGCCACACUGGGACUGAGACACGGCCCAGACUCCUACGGGAGGCAGCAGUAGGGAAUCUUCGGCAAUGGACGAAAGUCUGACCGAGCAACGCCGCGUGAGUGAAGAAGGUUGUCGGAUCGUAAAGCUCUGUUGUAAGAGAAGAACGGGUGUGAGAGUGGAAAGUUCACACUGUGACGGUAUCUUACCAGAAAGGGACGGCUAACUACGUG
This 504-nucleotide ribosomal RNA is filed under the name uncultured bacterium. RNAcentral's name for it is "partial 16S ribosomal RNA". It matches the Rfam family "Bacterial small subunit ribosomal RNA", at positions 29 to 507 of the family's 1533-position model. The record is from RNAcentral.